UACGUAGGGUGCGAGCGUUAGUCGGAAUUACUGGGCGUAAAGUGUGCGCAGGCGGUUGAGCAAGUCGGGUGUGAAAGCCCCGGGCUUAACUUGGGAAUUGCGCUCGAAACUACUUGACUGGAGUGUGGCAGAGGAAGGUGGAAUUCCACGUGUAGCGGUGAAAUGCGUAGAGAUGUGGAGGAACACCAAUGGCGAAGGCAGCCUUCUGGGCCAACACUGACGCUCAUGCACGAAAGCGUGGGGAGCAAACAGG
This 253-nucleotide ribosomal RNA is filed under the name uncultured bacterium. Its description in RNAcentral is "partial 16S ribosomal RNA". It matches the Rfam family "Bacterial small subunit ribosomal RNA", at positions 524 to 776 of the family's 1533-position model. The record is from RNAcentral.